RNAcentral lists this ribosomal RNA (253 nucleotides) under uncultured bacterium. RNAcentral's name for it is "partial 16S ribosomal RNA". It matches the Rfam family "Bacterial small subunit ribosomal RNA", at positions 524 to 776 of the family's 1533-position model. The record is from RNAcentral.
GACGUAGGGGGCCAGCGUUGUUCGGAAUUACUGGGGGUAAAGGGUUCGUAGGCGGUGCGGCAAGUUGGGAGUGAAAUCUCUGGGCUUAACCCAGAGGCUGCUUCCAAAACUGCUGUGCUUGAGUGUGGGAGAGGCGCGUGGAAUUGCAGGUGUAGCGGUGAAAUGCGUAGAUAUCUGCAGGAACACCCGUGGCGAAAGCGGCGCGCUGGACCACUACUGACGCUGAGGCACGAAAGCGUGGGGAGCAAACAGG